CCCUUAGAUGCCCGGGGCCGCACGCGCGCUACACUGAAGGAAUCAGCGUGGCUUUCUCCCUGACCCGAAAGGGUUGGGAAACCCGUUGAAUCUCCUUCGUGAUAGGGAUUGGGGCUUGAAAUUGUUCCCCAUGAACGAGGAAUUCCCAGUAAGCGCGAGUCAUAAGCUCGCGUUGAUUACGUCCCCGCCCUUUGUACACACCGCCCGUCGCUACUACCGAUUGAACGGUUUAGUGAGGGCCUCGGAUUGGUCUCGGCCCGCUCUUUACCGGGCGGCGCCGUUGGUCGAGAAGACGCUCGAACUUGAUCGUUUAGAGGAAGUAAAAGUCGUAACA
RNAcentral lists this ribosomal RNA (334 nucleotides) under uncultured eukaryote. RNAcentral's name for it is "partial 18S ribosomal RNA". It matches the Rfam family "Eukaryotic small subunit ribosomal RNA", at positions 1470 to 1796 of the family's 1831-position model. The record is from RNAcentral.